This is a non-coding RNA of Triticum aestivum (bread wheat), 135 nucleotides long. The record is from Rfam. NCBI's taxonomy places the organism in Eukaryota, Viridiplantae, Streptophyta, Magnoliopsida, Poales, Poaceae.
AAAGUACUCCCUCCGUUUCAAAAUUAUUGUCUUAGAUUUGUCUAAAUACGGAUGUAUCAAGACACAUUUUACUAUUAGGUAUAUCCAUAUCUAGACAAAUCUAAGACAAGAAUUUUAAGACAGAGGGAGUAUUAG